RNAcentral lists this ribosomal RNA (253 nucleotides) under uncultured bacterium. Its description in RNAcentral is "partial 16S ribosomal RNA". It matches the Rfam family "Bacterial small subunit ribosomal RNA", at positions 524 to 776 of the family's 1533-position model. The record is from RNAcentral.
UACGUAGGGUGCGAGCGUUAAUCGGAAUUACUGGGCGUAAAGCGUGCGCAGGCGGUUUUGUAAGUCAGAUGUGAAAUCCCCGGGCUUAACCUGGGAAUGGCAUUUGGGACUGCAAGGCUUGAGUGCGGCAGAGGAGACUAGAAUUCCUGGUGUAGCAGUGAAAUGCGUAGAUAUCAGGAGGAAUACCGAUGGCGAAGGCAGGUCUCUGGGCUGACACUGACGCUCAUGCACGAAAGCGUGGGGAGCAAACAGG